This 2382-nucleotide unclassified non-coding RNA is filed under the name Hevea brasiliensis (rubber tree). The record is from RNAcentral. Lineage: Eukaryota; Viridiplantae; Streptophyta; Magnoliopsida; Malpighiales; Euphorbiaceae.
CAAAGUUCUCCCCCGCCCCACCAGUAGAAGCUUGCCAAGGCAGAGGGCGGUGGACAGUGGGUUUCUUUCAUUCAUAAAUGCGUCAGAAAUUAUGUUCAAUUAUAUAAGAUUCUCUAAUUCUACAUUUGGAAUUUUCCAUUGAUGAAGGGUUGAUAUUCCAUCAGUAGAACAGCAAUCUUGAUUCUUGAAUUACAUGCAAUGUGAAUUCUAGCAAUAGUUCUACCGCACAAUUUCAAAUUUCUUCUAUUCUAUCACUUAAUCACCAAAAAACAAAUACCUACAUCUCAAGGAAUUUAAUGGUAGCUAUACUAUAAUUAGCUCUCACACCUUCUCUGCAAGUUAUUUCUCUCUGGUUCUUUUGCAAAGUCUGUGCAUCUAUCAAGCUUACCCAACACUGCAUUCUUGAAAUUUACAGCUUCAGGAACUUGUGAGCAGGACCUCUGCAUUCUAACCCCACUUAUACUAUUUCUUGAUGCCAUCAACUCAUUAAGUGACAGCCUUUUCUUUGGCCCAGGUUCAGGCCUCUGCUUUGGAGCACUAUGUGACCUCACUUUAGCUUUGAAAGAUUGUGUAUUAGCCAUAUAAUUAGGGCAAUUACCAUACUGCCUAAAGAAGUUAUCUGCACAUACGCUCUUAGCAGGUGUCACUGGAGCAUUAGACCCUCCGGAACUGAGGAACCGAGGAGUGCUUUGUGCAGUGGAGAACCUACAUUCAUCACCGGUUAAGCCCCAGUCUGAAUCUUGAAAAUUCCGGGUAUCGAGCAUCGAUAAACGGGGUGGAAUUCUUGAUGGGAGAGGAGAGGAGAGGGUUUGGUAAAAUGGGUCAUCGCUGAAAUCUGAAACUGAGGUGUUAGAUCUGCGAGAUCUUGAUUUUGGCCUGCAACCCCCUGUAUCAACCUCCACUAUCUUUGGAGUUUCGUCAAUGGGAUUCAUUAACGUGGCGUCUAGUGAUGUUGAAAGCCUUCUACUGUGGAUUGAAGCUGUGUGUUCACUCCUUGUUUCAUCAUAUCUCUCCUGCAAAUAAUCAAAGCAUGGAAUAUUAUGAACAGAGUGUGAAUUAAUAUUAACCAUAUAAAGAUAUUCAAUUUCUUGCUACAAAAGUUUUGGAAUUUGAGCUCUUUUACCAUGGAUUUUCGAGCUCGAAUUUCGAAUCGGUUAUCAGUUUUUGUGAGAUUUCUGGCUCUGUAGGAACGGACGGUGGCUUGUGCUCUAAUUAGAGCCUGCAUACUGUGGAGCGUUGCAGUUGCUUGUUUUCUUACGAUGUAUCCUCUAACGUGGGCUUGCAACUUCACCAAUCCUUUUAAUGCUCGCAGUGCCUUUCUGGCCUGUUUAGAAUCCAAAAUCCAAGAAAAGAGAAUUCCUUUUACUCGAAUGUAAACAGAAUUAAAAGCAGAGAUGGAUAUGACAUGCAUUGUGUACUAGCUACUGAGCAAGUAAAUUCUUUAAGAACAUACCGACCAACCAAAUUCCUGUUUAAAGAAGAAAGUUACAAGCUUUUGUUCAACAAAAUUUCAGAUUGUGAAAAACCAGGAAAACAUACAAACCCCUAAAGCCCACUCACCAAAUAGCCCCUGAAAAUGGUUUGAAUCCUGACAGCAGCCCACCUUUCCCGUCCACCACCAAACAUGGAACCUCUGCCAUGGCUAGUUAGCCUGACUACCGCCACCGCCGCCUGGGCUGCGGCAACAGCGGCAUCAGCUGCCGCGGCUGUGGCCGCUGCAACUGCUAUGGCGUGCUUGUUCUGUUCCUUCUCAGUGUCAUUGUAGUAUGACCUUAGCCAAGCAGCCUCAGCUGGAGAAAUAUUGGGUGGUAUAGUAGCUGGAUUGUGACAUAACCCGGUUGAGUUCCUCGCCGAGCUACACCGCUUAUUGUCUCUCCGGUCACAAUUGUCCUUAUUGCCGUAGUUCUUUAUCCCAAACAGGCCCUUUAGCCAUCUUGUAGCUCUACCCAUUAGUUUGUUUUUGCUCUGCUUGCUAGAAAACUAGAAAGUGGUGGUAGAGACUAGGGAGAGUGAGAACGCGAGAGAAACCAGGAAAUGUUAAACGUUACAAAAAGAAAAUGACCCAUUUGUACAAAAGAAAAGAAAGAGGCUGUUAGAGCUCUCAGUAGCUUACAAUCUUAGGUGGUGAUGAUUCACUUUUAAGAAUUAUAAUAAAAGAGAACAAGCGGCAAUGUUUGAAAAGAUGCAAAUCAAAAGGCCAAUAAAAGGGCAUAAAAAUACUGUCAACUCCUCGUGAAGAAGUGCAUUACAUGACAAAACACACGCUGUUGGAAGAUGCAGAGGUUAUGGGAAUAUAUUAUAUUAUUUGACACAAAAAAAAAAACUUAAUUAAUAAGGACUAAAAUAAUCAGAAUUUGUGGGAAAGUAAUCACAGAGAAAAGG